GAUGAACGCUGGCGGCGUGCUUAACGCAUGCAAGUCGAACGAAGCACUUUAUUUGAUUUCCUUCGGGACUGAUUAUUUUGUGACUGAGUGGCGGACGGGUGAGUAACGCGUGGGUAACCUGCCUUGUACAGGGGGAUAACAGUUGGAAACGGCUGCUAAUACCGCAUAAGCGCACAGCAUCGCAUGAUGCAGUGUGAAAAACUCCGGUGGUAUAAGAUGGACCCGCGUUGGAUUAGCUAGUUGGUGAGGUAACGGCCCACCAAGGCGACGAUCCAUAGCCGACCAGAGAGCGUGCCCGCCGACAUCAGGACUUCGACACGGCCAGAACCUCUACGGCAGGCAGCAGUAGGGAAUAUUGCACAAUGCGCGACAGCCUGAUGCAGCCACGCCGAGUGAGCGAAGACGUAUCUCGGUAUGUAAAGCUCUCUCAGCAGGGAAGAUAAUGACGGCACCUGAGCAAGAAGCACGGGCUAAAUACUUG
RNAcentral lists this ribosomal RNA (481 nucleotides) under uncultured bacterium. Its description in RNAcentral is "partial 16S ribosomal RNA". It matches the Rfam family "Bacterial small subunit ribosomal RNA", at positions 28 to 507 of the family's 1533-position model. The record is from RNAcentral.